AUUGAACGCUGGCGGCAGGCCUAACACAUGCAAGUCGAGCGGAUGAAGGGAACUUGCUCCUGGAUUCAGCGGCGGACGGGUGAGUAAUGCCUAGGAAUCUGCCUGGUAGUGGGGGAUAACGUCCGGAAACGGGCGCUAAUACCGCAUUCGUCCUGAGGGCGAACGUGGGGGAUCUUCGGACCUCACGCCAUCAGGUGAGCCUAGGUCGGAUUAGCUAGUUGGUGGGGUAAAGGCCUACCAAGGCGACGAUCCGUAACUGGUCUGAGAGGAUGAUCAGUCACACUGGAACUGAGACACGGUCCAGACUCCUACGGGAGGCAGCAGUGGGGAAUAUUGGACAAUGGGCGAAAGCCUGAUCCAGCCAUGCCGCGUGUGUGAAGAAGGUCUUCGGAUUGUAAAGCCCUUUAAGUGGGGAGGAAGGGCAGUAAGUUAAUACCUUGCUGUUUUGACGUUACCAACAGAAUAAGCACCGGCUAACUUCGUG
Molecule: ribosomal RNA, 484 nt
Filed under: uncultured bacterium
Lineage: Bacteria
Description: partial 16S ribosomal RNA
Rfam family: Bacterial small subunit ribosomal RNA
Source: RNAcentral